AUACGUAGGUGGCAAGCGUUAUCCGGAUUUACUGGGUGUAAAGGGCGCGUAGGCGGGGGUGCAAGUCAGAUGUGAAAUCUAUGGGCUUAACUCAUAAACUGCAUUUGAAACUGUAUCUCUUGAGUGCUGGAGAGGUAGACGGAAUUCCUUGUGUAGCGGUGAAAUGCGUAGAUAUAAGGAAGAACACCAGUGGCGAAGGCGGUCUACUGGACAGUAACUGACGCUGAGGCGCGAAAGCGUGGGGAGCAAACAGGAUUAGAUACCCUGGUAGUCCACGCUGUAAACGAUGAAUACUAGGUGUGGGGGGACUGACCCCCUCCGUGCCGCAGUUAACACAAUAAGUAUUCCGCCUGGGGAGUACGGCCGCAAGGUUGAAACUCAAAUGAAUUGACGGGG
RNAcentral lists this ribosomal RNA (396 nucleotides) under uncultured bacterium. RNAcentral's name for it is "partial 16S ribosomal RNA". It matches the Rfam family "Bacterial small subunit ribosomal RNA", at positions 523 to 918 of the family's 1533-position model. The record is from RNAcentral.